GGCCCCGUAGCUCAGCAGGAUAGAGCGCAGGAUUCCUAAUCCUGAGGCCACUGGUUCGAAUCCAGUCGGGGUCA
This 74-nucleotide transfer RNA is filed under the name Devosia equisanguinis. It matches the Rfam family "tRNA". Rfam says of the family: Transfer RNA (tRNA) molecules are approximately 80 nucleotides in length. Their secondary structure includes four short double-helical elements and three loops (D, anti-codon, and T loops). Lineage: Bacteria; Pseudomonadati; Pseudomonadota; Alphaproteobacteria; Hyphomicrobiales; Devosiaceae. The record is from Rfam by way of RNAcentral.